RNAcentral lists this ribosomal RNA (459 nucleotides) under uncultured bacterium. RNAcentral describes it as "partial 16S ribosomal RNA". It matches the Rfam family "Bacterial small subunit ribosomal RNA", at positions 338 to 795 of the family's 1533-position model. The record is from RNAcentral.
CCUACGGGUGACAGCAGUGAGGAAUAUUGGGCAAUGGGCGCGAGCCUGAACCAGCCAAGUCGCGUGAGGGAAGACGGUCCUAUGGAUUGUAAACCUCUUUUGUCGGGGAGCAAAAGACGCCACGCGUGGCGUUCCGAGAGUACCUGAAGAAAAAGCAUCGGCAAACUCCGUGCCGGCAGCCGCGGUAAUACGGAGGAUGCGAGCGUUAUCCGGAUUGAUUGGGUUAAAGGGGUGCGCAGGCGGAAGAUCAAGUCAGCGGUAAAAUUGAGAGGCUCAACCUCUGCGAGCCGUUGAAACUGGUUGUCUUGAGGGAGUGAGAGGUAUGCGGAAUGCGUGGUGUAGCGGUGAAAUGCAUAGAUAUCACGCAGAACUCCGGUUGCGAAGGCGGCAUACCGGCGCUCAACUGACGCUCAUGCGCGAAAGUGUGGGUAGCGAACAGGAUUAGAUACCCGUGUAGUC